Molecule: ribosomal RNA, 253 nt
Filed under: uncultured bacterium
Lineage: Bacteria
Description: partial 16S ribosomal RNA
Rfam family: Bacterial small subunit ribosomal RNA
Source: RNAcentral
UACGUAGGGUGCGAGCGUUAAUCGGAAUUACUGGGCGUAAAGCGUGCGCAGGCGGUUUUGUAAGCCAGAUGUGAAAUCCCCGGGCUUAACCUGGGAAUGGCAUUUGGGACUGCAAGGCUGGAGUGUGGCAGAGGAGACUGGAAUUCCUGGUGUAGCAGUGAAAUGCGUAGAUAUCAGGAGGAAUACCGAUGGCGAAGGCAGGUCUCUGGGCUGACACUGACGCUCAUGCACGAAAGCGUGGUGAGCAAACAGG